This 468-nucleotide ribosomal RNA is filed under the name uncultured bacterium. RNAcentral's name for it is "partial 16S ribosomal RNA". It matches the Rfam family "Bacterial small subunit ribosomal RNA", at positions 28 to 507 of the family's 1533-position model. The record is from RNAcentral.
GACGAACGCUGGCGGCGUGCUUAACACAUGCAAGUCGAACGGAAAGGCCCUGCUUUUGUGGGGUGCUCGAGUGGCGAACGGGUGAGUAACACGUGAGUAACCUGCCCUUGACUUUGGGAUAACUUCAGGAAACUGGGGCUAAUACCGGAUAGGAGCUCCUGCUGCAUGGUGGGGGUUGGAAAGUUUCGGCGGUUGGGGAUGGACUCGCGGCUUAUCAGCUUGUUGGUGGGGUAGUGGCUUACCAAGGCUUUGACGGGUAGCCGGCCUGAGAGGGUGACCGGCCACAUUGGGACUGAGAUACGGCGCAGACUCCUACGGGAGGCAGCAGUGGAGAAUAUUGCACAAUGGGCGGAAGCCUGAUGCAGCAACGCCGCGUGCGGGAUGACGGCCUUCGGGUUGUAAACCGCUUUCGCCUGUGACGAAGCGUGAGUGACGGUAAUGGGUAAAGAAGCACCGGCUAACUACGUG